GGAAUUGUUCAUUCUAUUUUAAGAAAUAUAUUAAUGCAAACCCUUCGCUUUUUGAUUUUAUAGAAUCGUUUAGUGCCCACUCACUGUAUCAAGGACAGAUCAAUGUAUAUGGUUUUCUAAUCAACAUAGGAUGUAAUCAAUAAUUUUUUGGAUUCAAGUGAAAAAGUUUCAAAGGACUACUGUAGAUGAUAGCUAUGGUGUACCCUUUAUUCACUGUUUGUCUAAUAUCAAAAUGCUAAAUGCUAACUUCUCAAUCUGGUUCAUUAAAAUAUUUUAACGCACUACUAUAAAAUCAU
Molecule: non-coding RNA, 296 nt
Organism: Schizosaccharomyces pombe (fission yeast)
Lineage: Eukaryota; Fungi; Ascomycota; Schizosaccharomycetes; Schizosaccharomycetales; Schizosaccharomycetaceae
Source: the annotation of a GenBank genome assembly